AGAGUUUGAUCCUGGCUCAGAUCGAACGCUGGCGGAAUGCUUUACACAUGCAAGUCGAACGGCAGCACGGGAGCUUGCUCCUGGUGGCGAGUGGCGAACGGGUGAGUAACAUAUCGGAACAUAUCCUAUCGUGGGGGAUAACUAGUCGAAAGACUAGCUAAUACCGCAUACGUCCUGAGGGAGAAAGCGGGGGCUCGCAAGACCUCGCGCGAUUGGAGUGGCCGAUAUCUGAUUAGCUAGAUGGUGAGGUAAAAGCUCACCAUGGCGACGAUCAGUAGCUGGUCUGAGAGGAUGAUCAGCCACACUGGGACUGAGACACGGCCCAGACUCCUACGGGAGGCAGCAGUGGGGAAUUUUGGACAAUGGGCGAAAGCCUGAUCCAGCCAUUCCGCGUGAGUGAAGAAGGCCUUCGGGUUGUAAACUGCUUUUGUACGGAACGAAAAGGUCUGCCCUAAUACGGC
This 461-nucleotide ribosomal RNA is filed under the name uncultured bacterium. RNAcentral's name for it is "bacterial SSU rRNA". It matches the Rfam family "Bacterial small subunit ribosomal RNA", at positions 8 to 467 of the family's 1533-position model. The record is from RNAcentral.